CAAAAACAUAUAGACAUUUCUGCCUCAUGACUCUUAGAUGCAGAGUUUAACUAAAAGCUAUCUCUAGCUUUGUACGGCUGGUCCCCAGCAUGAGAUAGUGGGGUGAUUGUUCUCCCCAGAUAAUCUGUAGCCAUAAAAUAACUGGCCUUAGAAUUGUCUCCAUUCCUGUGCUGCUCAAAGUGAAGUCCAAGGGCUGGCAGCCUGAGCAACAACUGGGAGCUGGUAGGAAGCGCAGAAUCCCAGCCCCGCUGAGAAGAAUCGACACUUCAACAGGAUUCCCAGGUGAGCCCUAUGCACAACAGCGUUUGAGAAGCACUGGUCUAGAGAACGUCCUACUUCACAGAUGUGGAAACUGAGGCCCAGACAGGGCUCGUCUCCUGUGUGAUCUUCCCACUCUCUCAUCAAGAGGUGGAGUCUAACUUGUGUCCUUUGAUUCUGGGGCAUCCACUGUCCAAACCCAGGAAGAAGUCAGAGUCAAUGGGGUUUUUUUGUCAAGAGAAUUGCAUUCCAUAUAGUUUAAGAGAGACAG
RNAcentral lists this long non-coding RNA (529 nucleotides) under Equus asinus (donkey). Its description in RNAcentral is "lncRNA (ENSEASG00005037860.1)". Lineage: Eukaryota; Metazoa; Chordata; Mammalia; Perissodactyla; Equidae. The record is from RNAcentral.